Molecule: transfer RNA, 84 nt
Filed under: Bacteriophage sp.
Also listed under: 3 other names
Description: tRNA-Tyr
Rfam family: tRNA
About the family: Transfer RNA (tRNA) molecules are approximately 80 nucleotides in length. Their secondary structure includes four short double-helical elements and three loops (D, anti-codon, and T loops).
Source: RNAcentral
GGGAUUGUAACCGGUAAUUGGUAGCCGCGCAGACUGUAAAUCUGCUCUCUUUUGAGACUGGAGGUUCGAGUCCUCCCAAUCCCA